RNAcentral lists this ribosomal RNA (464 nucleotides) under uncultured bacterium. RNAcentral's name for it is "bacterial SSU rRNA". It matches the Rfam family "Bacterial small subunit ribosomal RNA", at positions 338 to 795 of the family's 1533-position model. The record is from RNAcentral.
CCUACGGGCGGCUGCAGCUAAGAAUAUUCCGCAAUGGACGAAAGUCUGACGGAGCGACGCCGCGUGAACGAUGAAGGCCGCAAGGUUGUAAAGUUCUUUUCCAGAGGAAGAAUAAAGCCGACAGGGAAUGGUCGGAAGAUGACAUUAAUCUGGGAAUAAGCCCCGGCUAACUACGUGCCAGCAGCCGCGGUAAUACGUAGGGGGCAAACGUUGUUCGGAAUUAUUGGGCAUAAAGAGUGCGCAGGCGGUUAUACAAGUCUGGUGUUAAAUGGUUCGGCUUAACUGAAUCAUGCGCUGGAAACUGUAUGACUAGAGUUUAAGAGGGGAUAUUGGAAUUCCAGGUGUAGGGGUGAAAUCUGUAGAUAUCUGGAAGAACACCAAUGGCGAAGGCAAAUAUCUGGCUAUAAACUGACGCUGAGGCACGAAGGUGUGGGGAGCAAACAGGCUUAGAUACCCCAGUAGUC